AGUGAACGCUGGCGGUAGGCCUAACACAUGCAAGUCGAACGGCAGCACGGUAAGAGCUUGCUCUUACGGGUGGCGAGUGGCGGACGGGUGAGGAAUACAUCGGAAUCUACUUUUUCGUGGGGGAUAACGUAGGGAAACUUACGCUAAUACCGCAUACGACCUACGGGUGAAAGCAGGGGAUCUUCGGACCUUGCGCGAUUGAAUGAGCCGAUGUCGGAUUAGCUAGUUGGCAGGGUAAAGGCCCACCAAGGCGACGAUCCGUAGCUGGUCUGAGAGGAUGAUCAGCCACACUGGAACUGAGACACGGUCCAGACUCCUACGGGAGGCAGCAGUGGGGAAUAUUGGACAAUGGGCGCAAGCCUGAUCCAGCCAUACCGCGUGGGUGAAGAAGGCCUUCGGGUUGUAAAGCCCUUUUGUUGGGAAAGAAAAGCAGCAGGUUAAUACCCCGCUGUUCUGACGGUACCCAAAGAAUAAGCACCGGCUAACUUCGUG
Molecule: ribosomal RNA, 492 nt
Filed under: uncultured bacterium
Lineage: Bacteria
Description: partial 16S ribosomal RNA
Rfam family: Bacterial small subunit ribosomal RNA
Source: RNAcentral